CCUCCCCGCGGAGGCGUGGGAAAGUGCCGCGAGGGAAGCUGGGAUACUCCCGCCGUCCGCCAUCAUCCGGCCGUCCUAGAAGGCGGUAGUGUCCGUGGGUCGGAGCAAUCUUGAGCCAUGAAGCUGAUAACCAGAGCCGGGUCCCUCGCGAGAUUUUAUUCCCUUAGAGUUGCCCCCAAAGUAAAAGCCACAGCUGCCCCUGCGGGAGUGCCUCCACAUCCUGAAGACCUUGAGUUCACCAGAUUACCAAAUGGCUUAGUGAUUGCUUCUCUUGAAAACUAUGCUCCUGCUUCAAGAAUUGGUUUGUUCAUUAAAGCAGGCAGCAGAUACGAGGACUCCAACAAUUUAGGAACCUCUCAUUUGCUUCGUCUUGCAUCAGGUUUGACUACGAAAGGAGCUUCAUCUUUCAAGAUAACCCGUGGAAUUGAAGCAGUUGGUGGUAAAUUAAGUGUGACUGCAACAAGGGAGAGCAUGGCUUACACUGUGGAGUGCCUGCGGGAUGAUGUUGAUAUUCUAAUGGAGUUCCUGCUCAACGUCACUGCAGCACCAGAAUUUCGUCGUUGGGAGGUGGCUGCCCUUCAGUCUCAGCUGAGGAUUGACAAAACCGUGGCUUUUCAGAAUCCACAGGCUCAUGUCAUUGAAAAUUUGCAUGCUGCAGCUUACCGAAAUACCUUGGCUAACUCCUUAUAUUGUCCUGAUUAUAGGAUUGGAAAAGUGACACCAGACGAGUUACAUCACUACGUUCAGAACCAUUUUACAAGUGCAAGAAUGGCUUUGAUUGGACUUGGUGUGAGUCAUCCUGUUCUAAAGCAAGUUGCUGAACGAUUUCUCAAUGUGAGAGGCGGCCUUGGUUUAUCUGGUGCAAAGGCCAAAUACCGUGGAGGUGAAAUCCGAGAACAGAAUGGAGACAGUCUCGUCCAUGCUGCCCUGGUAGCAGAAAGCACUGCUGCAGCAAGUGCAGAAGCAAAUGCAUUCAGUGUUCUCCAGCACGUCCUCGGUGCCGGGCCACACGUUAAGAGGGGCAGCAACGCCACCAGCUCACUCUACCAGGCUAUUGCCAAGGGAACCCACCAGCCAUUUGAUGUUUCUGCUUUUAAUGCCAGUUACUCAGAUUCUGGACUCUUCGGGAUUUACACUAUCUCACAAGCAGCAGCUGCUGGAGAUGUUAUCAAGGCUGCCUAUAACCAAGUCAAAACAAUUGCUCAAGGAAACCUUUCUAACACAGAUGUCCAAACUGCCAAGAACAAGCUGAAAGCUAGCUACCUAAUGUCUGUGGAGUCUUCUGAGAGUUUCCUGGAUGAAAUUGGGUCCCAGGCUCUAGUUGCUGGUUCCUACGUUCCGCCAUCCACAGUCCUUCAGCAGAUUGACGCAGUAGCUGACGCUGAUGUCAUAAAUGCUGCAAAGAAGUUUGUUUCUGGCCGGAAGUCAAUGGCAGCAAGCGGCAAUUUGGGGCAUACACCUUUUGUUGAUGAGUUGUAAUACUGAAACACAUGUUACAGGAAAGAGCUGAACAUUUUCUCAACCCAUAGCAGCAAACACAUGGAAGUCAAAAAUCUCUAAUGUAAUAUUUAUCUUUUUUCCAAAAUAUUGUAAAGCAUAAAUGCAGGUUGACCCUUGUCCUCAGCUUGGGCAUAAUCUUCCAGCCAAAAUGCAUCUGAGGAGGAGGCCGAGGAGGACGAGGAGCUUUUGUCAUGCUUCACCAUUGUCCAGUAAGGAGAAGGGGCUCUCACUUCUUUCUUGUGAUCUUGGUGAAUCACCACAUCACAGUGAAUGUCUUCUCCCACACGCAUAGUAUGGUUCUUCUUUUUAUAUCCAUGCCAUUCUCUGGAGAUAGACAUCGGUCUCCUUGCAGCAUGAUGCCCGGUGGACCGUGGAUAUUUAUAGUACUUAAGCUUUUUAUCUAAAACUACAUCUUCUUUGUCAUCGCUGCUUGUGGAGUCAUCUUUUGCCUGCUCAGUUUUCUUUGUUGUGCUGAAAUGAAAAGAACAGUGAAUGAAAUGGAUUCUUAAUGUCUGAACAUUCAUUAUCACCCAACGAGAUAUCUUAUAACCUGCUUUGUUUCAUAAAAUAAAGGAUACGGUUCAGCUUUA
Molecule: RNA transcript, 2090 nt
Organism: Camelus dromedarius (Arabian camel)
Lineage: Eukaryota; Metazoa; Chordata; Mammalia; Artiodactyla; Camelidae
Gene name: cytochrome b-c1 complex subunit 2, mitochondrial
Exons: 15
Source: RefSeq, a predicted model, not a curated record